Gorilla gorilla gorilla (western lowland gorilla) is the source of this 351-nucleotide long non-coding RNA. RefSeq lists it as uncharacterized. NCBI's taxonomy places the organism in Eukaryota, Metazoa, Chordata, Mammalia, Primates, Hominidae. The record is from RefSeq and is a predicted model, not a curated record. The transcript is spliced from 3 exons.
UUCCUCCAUGUUGGAAGCAGCUAGGACUGGAGACUGUCUGGACCUAGAGUUGGUGCUCAUCGUCCUGAUGGUGAAGGAAAGAGCAAGUCUUGGAGAAAAUAAGCAGAAGGCAUGGGGACUGGAAGUUGUGAGGUACGAUGAGGCUUCUGCUGAUACAGGAAUGAUGUCCUCACCCACUGGGCCAUAGGAGUGGCCUCCCAGGAUAAAAGAACAUGGGGAGCCAGCACUGUAUUUUGAAUCAGUAAAUUGUCACAGUUUUUUAUUGGCUGGACCCAGGAAAGCAUGAAACUGGCUGGAAUUGCAGGAGAUAUUUGAGUUAGACACGUCAGAGGACUUCCUGGCCUGAAGGGC